Non-coding RNA from Oryza sativa Japonica Group (Japanese rice), 3909 nucleotides. The record is from RefSeq and is a predicted model, not a curated record. Lineage: Eukaryota; Viridiplantae; Streptophyta; Magnoliopsida; Poales; Poaceae.
UAGUCGUGCGGCGGUGUUUCCCCUUCCUCUCGGCGGCGACGCCGACUCCCCGUGAGUUCGUCCGCCGCCUCCGCCGCCGCCGCCGCCGAUCCCCAUCCAUCCCGCGAGCGAGUAGGGGCGCCGUCGGUUGUCCUGCUGCUUCCGCCGUAUCCUGAUGAUCUCGGAGAAGAGGAUUGAUUUUGUCUGAUCAGGUGUUUAAUUCGGCACCAGAGUGGGAUCUAGGAACUGGUGGGAAAUGGAGAAGCCGUUAUAGCUUCGUCCAGGGUCAGUGAAGAUAGAUUUUGCCUCUUCCUUGUAUGCUGCCAAGGCAGAUAUCGCUGCCACCGCGGCAGCGCUCUCGCAUGCGCUUGGGCCGCCCUGCUAUCAGCUCCCACUGGCAAAAGUAAAUUCAUCACUGCCACUAUGGCCUCCAGUGACAUGCCCUUCAACAUUUGCCCAGAAGCGUCGUAUGUCAUUGCCUAGCCCACCUCCGGCCAAGAAGCUGCAAGUGCAGCAGUCUUCAUCCAUACUGCCACAAGAUUUUCCAAAGUUAGAGGUAUUGCCAGUUGAAAAGCCCACAAAGUUGCAGGAGCGGCGGUCACCGCAACAUGUAUCCCCAGAGCUGAAGCAAGGUUCACCGAAGAUGGAGAGGCCAUUGUUGCCAAGGCCUGCAACCUUUAUUGACGUGAUGCUGAGUUCUCAAAAGCCAUCUAGCGAUAUGUGGUCUGAAACAAAAGAUGUGACACUGACAAGGAAAACAAACUGCAGCUGCAAGUAUUCGAAAUGCCUGAAGCUGUAUUGUGAGUGCUUUGAAAAAGGCAGAUACUGCAUUGGUUGCAAUUGCACAAACUGUUGCAACAAUGUUAAUCAUGAGAAUGCAAGACAUGAUGCUAUCAAUGUUGCAUUGGAACGGAAUCCUGCAGCUUUUAUGCCAAAAGUUUCGAAUAGCACAGCCCACAACUGUGAGAGCAAAGCAGCAGAGGGUGAUAUUGUGGGUAAACAUACAAAGGGGUGUAAAUGCAAGAGAACAGAGUAUCUGAAGAAAUACUGUGAAUGCUUCAAAGCUAGUGUUUUCUGUUCAGAGAACUGCAGAUGUACGGGUUGCAAGAAUUUCAAGAGUAAUGAAGAUAGAAUUUCCCAGAAGAACACUGUUCAUGCACAUAAUGUGCAGAAUCCUGCUUCAAGUGGGAUGGUUGGACAAUCUGUGAUAAUUUUCCAUGCAGCAGAAAAUGACUCCAGUCUUUCAUUGGCUGCAUCUGUGAGCGAUCAUUCCAUUAACAACAACACUUCACAUGUAAUUCUUUUGCAGCAUACUUUUCAAAUUUGUCACGGGCCCUGCUUUCCUAAUAGGGCAAUUGCGUAUUUGACCCUCUUUUAAAAGCUAACUACCAAUUUGACUCUUUUUUUUCAACUUUGCUUAUUUGACCUUUUUUUUCAAAAUUAAAGAUAUGGUAUGACCCUAUUAUAUUAAGGGCUUCUAACGGUGUUAACUGAAGCACAAAAAGUCCCUUUUGCCCUUACUCAUUUGACCUUAUUACAUGUGGGACCCACCCGUCAGUUCUCUCUUCUCCUCUCCUCCUCUUUUCUCUUCUUCUUCUGACGCCGCCUCCUUCAUUCCUCCGCGUCGCUUCUUCCCUCGGCGCCGGCUGCCGUCGCCGCCGCCCCUGCCUCCCUUCUUCGCGCGCCAACCUCCGCCUCCCUCCCCGCUGCGCGCGCAGACGCCGACGCCACCGGCGCCGCCUCCGCAGACGCCGACGCCACCGAGCGCCGCCGCCGCCAGUCCCGGCUCCCCUCCCUCCCUUCGCCGGCGCCGGUCUUCGCCUCCCUCCCUUCGCCGGCGCCGGUCGCCUCCCUCCCCGUGCGCUGAUGCAGAUGCCGCCGCCGCCGCCACCGCCAGGCCUGGCUCCCCUCCCUCCCUUCGCCGGCGACGGCCUCCGCCUCCCACCCCGCGCACCGAUGCAGAUGCCGCCGCAGCCGCCUCUGUCGCCAGGCCCGGCUCCCCUCCCUCCCUUCGCCAGCGACGGCCUUCGCCUCCAUCCCCGCGCGCCGAUGCAGACGCCGCCGCCUCCGCCGCCAGGCCCAGCUCCCCUUCCUCCCCGCGCCGCGCGCCGGCCUCCGCCUCCCUCCCCGCUGCGCGCGUCAAGACAAGCUGGCGCAACACUUUUAGUUGAUACAAGUUGAAUAAUCAGAUGGCCACCAGCCCACCACUGCCAAGCACACGCCUUGCUCAGUCGGGCUUAGGGACACCCAUGAUUGUCAUGAACAGAACAAGCAUGUUGCAGAUCGUAGAAAUCCAGCUUAUAAGAAUCUAGAAAAGAUAAAAAAAGAACCAACUUUUGACUUAUAGCUUCUUUUUUGCAGUUUCCCUCAAAAACAAUUUUUUCCCUAAAAAAAGUUUCUUUUUUGCACCCUGUAUCUAUAUAUUCCCAUAAAAAGGAUAAAAAGUUGGACGAAUUUUUUAUUUUGGGAAAAAUUACAGUUAUCACAAGCUCUAAAUAGGCCCAAACUUAGAUUGAGGCUUUGUAGCGUUGCAUGCACCAUGCACGACAUGCGAACGAGCCCAACAUUUUGAGCCUGCUAUUUUUUUCAUUAUCUUGUGGGCUGGACUUUAUUGCACACUCACACUCCACAUACGCACCGUGAGCAGCUUGGUGAGGCUGAAAGCGCACCUCCUGUACACACGUAAAACGGAGUAACUCAUUAGCAUAUAAUUAAUUAAUUAUUUACUAAUUUUUUAAAAAUGAAUUAAUAUGAUUUUUAAAGCAACUUUACAAUAUAAUCUUUUUUUUAAAAAACACACUAUUUAACAGUUUGAAAAAUGUGCGCACGAAGAACAAUGGUAAUGAGUUGGGAACUCUCUGAAAGAAUUAACACAGCCGCAUGUCUAUUUGUCCCUUGUCUUCUAGUGGACAGCCCACAAUUAAUUAACCAAUCAUCCAUUGCCAAAUCCGAGUCCCAUUGGUUGUUUAUAUAUCAUCCCUUGUUUCGCUGGUUAGUAGAAAUCACUGCAUGUACCAAUAUAUACAUGGCUACACCUUGCGUACUGCAUACUCACAAGUAAACCUAUACUCAUCUAAGUGGCAGAACACAAAAAAUGUUUUUCCCUUGAUCAUACAUCCCCUUUUAAUAUCUUAAUUAGCGUGCAAAUGGACAAAUAAUGCGAGUGGAAGUAAGAGUUGAGCGUAGUAUUGGUGGUUUGAUGGUGAGACGCCCCGGGAUACAUUACUAUAUUAGGAAUUCAAUAUGGAGAGCCUUGUAACGGAUGUGUUCAAUCAGGACAUUUUAUAGCCGGAUACAACCAUGGUGUAUAAGUAAAUACGGUUUUCUUCUCUAGGCAUCAGCCUAAGCAUCCCAUUGCACAUGGCCUAAGGUGCCAUAAAUAGUUGGUGUGGAAUGAUGGACAGACCCAAUCAACACUACAAAGCUUAUCCACCCCAUUCAUCUUGUUACUUUUGUAUUUGCUAACCGAGGGUGUUAUAGGAGGAAGUUGUGGGUGAGAUUUGAUCUGUUAGGAAUAGAAUGUAUCGAGAACUAGAGUUGACACGACUUGAGAAAGAAGUGCUUGAGUGGUUAUGUUUCAAGAUGGGAAUGGUUAGGUUCUGGAUUGACCUAAACCAUUCCACAUGACCACUCUGGCCCAUGGUUUAGUAGGGGGCAACCCUUGAUGGUUUUAUUAAAUAAAUGGUUAUCCAAUGGAGCAAAGGGUUACCCUAUUAAACCUAUGAGACAUCAACCAAUUCAUACAACAGCCAGUUCAUAGAUUCAUGAAACAAAGGGUUAUCCAAGGUGCAUAAAAGAAUCAUUAUAUAUAUAUAUAUAUAUCUACUACUACUUAAAAAAUAAGAGGUGCUUCCAUCGUCCGUCAAAAAAACCGGGUGAAAAAAAACCGGGCAGAAAAAACCAAGUUUGUCCGAUAAAAAAACCGGACGA